GGGAAUUUUCCGCAAUGGGCGAAAGCCUGACGGAGCAAUACCGCGUGAGGGAUGACGGCCUAUGGGUUGUAAACCUCUUUUUUCAGGGAGGAAUCAAUGACGUGUACCUGAAGAAUAAGCAUCGGCUAACUCCCGUGCCAGCAGCCGCGGUAAGACGGAGGAUGCAAGUGUUAUCCGGAAUCACUGGGCGUAAAGCGUCUGUAGGUGGUCAAGUAAGUCAACUGUUAAAUCUUGAGGCUCAACCUCAAAAUCGCAGUCGAAACUACUAGACUAGAGUAUAGUAGGGGUAAAGGGAAUUUCCAGUGGAGCGGUGAAAUGCGUAGAGAUUGGAAAGAACACCGAUGGCGAAGGCACUUUACUGGGCUAUUACUAACACUGAGAGACGAAAGCUAGGGUAGCAAAUGGGAUUAGAUACCCCAGUAGUCA
Molecule: ribosomal RNA, 426 nt
Filed under: uncultured cyanobacterium
Lineage: Bacteria; Bacillati; Cyanobacteriota
Description: bacterial SSU rRNA
Rfam family: Bacterial small subunit ribosomal RNA
Source: RNAcentral